This 253-nucleotide ribosomal RNA is filed under the name uncultured bacterium. RNAcentral describes it as "partial 16S ribosomal RNA". It matches the Rfam family "Bacterial small subunit ribosomal RNA", at positions 524 to 776 of the family's 1533-position model. The record is from RNAcentral.
UACGAAGGGGGCUAGCGUUGUUCGGAUUUACUGGGCGUAAAGCGCACGUAGGCGGAUCGUUAAGUCGGGGGUGAAAUCCUGGAGCUCAACUCCAGAACUGCCUUCGAUACUGGCGAUCUCGAGUCCGGAAGAGGUGAGUGGAACUCCUAGUGUAGAGGUGGAAUUCGUAGAUAUUAGGAAGAACACCAGUGGCGAAGGCGGCUCACUGGUCCGGUUCUGACGCUGAGGCGCGAAAGCGUGGGGAGCAAACAGG